AUUGAACGCUGGCGGAAUGCUUUACACAUGCAAGUCGAACGGUAGAGGGGGCAACCCCUCGAGAGUGGCGAACGGGUGAGUAAUAUAUCGGAACGUGCCCAGUCGUGGGGGAUAACGUAGCGAAAGUUACGCUAAUACCGCAUACGAUCUAAGGAUGAAAGCGGGGGAUCGCAAGACCUCGCGCGAUUGGAGCGGCCGAUAUCAGAUUAGGUAGUUGGCGGGGUAAAGGCUCACCAAGCCAACGAUCUGUAGCUGGUCUGAGAGGACGACCAGCCACACUGGAACUGAGACACGGUCCAGACUCCUACGGGAGGCAGCAGUGGGGAAUUUUGGACAAUGGACGCAAGUCUGAUCCAGCCAUUCCGCGUGCAGGAUGAAGGCCCUCGGGUUGUAAACUGCUUUUGUACGGAACGAAAAGGUCUCUCUUAAUACGGGGGAUUCAUGACGGUACCGUAAGAAUAAGCACCGGCUAACUACGUGCCAGCCGCCGCGGUAA
RNAcentral lists this ribosomal RNA (496 nucleotides) under uncultured bacterium. Its description in RNAcentral is "partial 16S ribosomal RNA". It matches the Rfam family "Bacterial small subunit ribosomal RNA", at positions 30 to 523 of the family's 1533-position model. The record is from RNAcentral.